ACCCUUGUGGAGAAGGACGCCGAAGGUGGGGCUGAUGACUGGGGUGAAGUCGUAACAAGGUAGCCGUACCGGAAGGUGCGGCUGGAUCACCUCCUAACAGGGAGACAACAAAUAGAUUAGAAAGAAUAAAGCAUCUCAUGGAUGCAUAAUUCUGUUUUUGAUUUUUUAGCUUAAAAACUAAAUGAUCAAUUUUCAGAAUUCAUGUUUAAUUCUUGAGUAAUAGCCGAGCACAAUUGAUUUUGUGAUUGUAUUUAAGGUCAAGCUACAAAGGGCUCAUGGCGGAUACCUUGGC
This 292-nucleotide unclassified non-coding RNA is filed under the name uncultured Prochlorococcus sp. RNAcentral's name for it is "partial may contain 16S ribosomal RNA, 16S-23S ribosomal RNA intergenic spacer, and 23S ribosomal RNA". The stretch from base 1 to 97 matches the Rfam family "Bacterial small subunit ribosomal RNA", at positions 1437 to 1533 of the family's 1533-position model. Lineage: Bacteria; Bacillati; Cyanobacteriota; Cyanophyceae; Synechococcales; Prochlorococcaceae. The record is from RNAcentral.